GGGGGAAUAUUGGACAAUGGGCGCAAGCCUGAUCCAGCCAUGCCGCGUGAGUGAUGAAGGCCCUAGGGUUGUAAAGCUCUUUUGUGCGGGAAGAUAAUGACGGUACCUGCAGAAAAAGCCCCGGCUAACUUCGUGCCAGCAGCCGCGGUAAUACGAAGGGGGCUAGCGUUAAUCGGAAUUACUGGGCGUAAAGCGUGCGUAGACGGUUUUGUAAGUCGGAUGUGAAAUCCCCGGGCUCAACCUGGGAAUUGCAUUCGAAACUGCAAGGCUUGGGUGCGGAAGAGGGAAGCGGAAUUUCCGGUGUAGCGGUGAAAUGCGUAGAUAUCGGAAGGAACAUCAGUGGCGAAGGCGGCUUCCUGGUCCAGCACCGACGUUCAGGCACGAAAGCGUGGGGAGCAAACAGGAUUAGAUACCCUGGUAGUCCACGCCAUAAACGAUGAGAACUAGACGUUGAGAGGGUAAGCCUCCCAGUGUCGUAGCUAACGCGCUAAGUUCUCCGCCUGGGGAGUACGGCCGCAAGGUUG
This 524-nucleotide ribosomal RNA is filed under the name uncultured bacterium. RNAcentral describes it as "bacterial SSU rRNA". It matches the Rfam family "Bacterial small subunit ribosomal RNA", at positions 355 to 896 of the family's 1533-position model. The record is from RNAcentral.